This 861-nucleotide ribosomal RNA is filed under the name uncultured archaeon. RNAcentral describes it as "bacterial SSU rRNA". It matches the Rfam family "Archaeal small subunit ribosomal RNA", at positions 1 to 872 of the family's 1478-position model. The record is from RNAcentral.
UUCCGGUUGAUCCUGCCGGACCCGACUGCUAUCAGAGUGGGACUAAGCCAUGCGAGUCAACAUAGCAAUAUGUGGCAUACGGCUCAGUAACACGUAGUCAACAUGCCCAGGGGACGUGGAUAACCUCGGGAAACUGAGGAUAAACCGCGAUAAGUCACUGCUUCUGGAAUGGGCAAUGACUUAAAUCUAUAUGGCCCCUGGAUUGGACUGCGGCCGAUCAGGCUGUUGGUGAGGUAAUGGCCCACCAAACCUGUAACCGGUACGGGCUCUGAGAGGAGGAGCCCGGAGAUGGGCACUGAGACAAGGGCCCAGGCCCUAUGGGGCGCAGCAGGCGCGAAACCUCUGCAAUAGGCGAAAGCCUGACAGGGUUACUCUGAGUGAUUUCCGUUAAGGAGAUCUUUUGGCACCUCUAAAAAUGGUGCAGAAUAAGGGGUGGGCAAGUCUGGUGUCAGCCGCCGCGGUAAUACCAGCACCCCGAGUGGUCGGGACGUUUAUUGGGCCUAAAGCAUCCGUAGCCGGUUCUGCAAGUCUUCCGUUAAAUCCACCUGCUUAACAGAUGGGCUGCGGAAGAUACUAUAGAGCUAGGAGGCGGGAGAGGCAAGCGGUACUCGAUGGGUAGGGGUAAAAUCCGUUGAUCCAUUGAAGACCACCAGUGGCGAAGGCGGCUUGCCAGAACGCGCUCGACGGUGAGGGAUGAAAGCUGGGGGAGCAAACCGGAUUAGAUACCCGGGUAGUCCCAGCUGUAAACGAUGCAGACUCGGUGAUGAAUUGGCUUUAUGCCAAUUCAGUGCCGCAGGGAAGCCGUUAAGUUUGCCGCCUGGGGAGUACGGUCGCAAGACUGAAACUUAAAGAAUUGGCGGG